This 73-nucleotide transfer RNA is filed under the name Cordylochernes scorpioides. RNAcentral describes it as "tRNA-Thr". It matches the Rfam family "tRNA". Rfam says of the family: Transfer RNA (tRNA) molecules are approximately 80 nucleotides in length. Their secondary structure includes four short double-helical elements and three loops (D, anti-codon, and T loops). Further hydrogen bonds mediate the characteristic L-shaped molecular structure. tRNAs have two regions of fundamental functional importance: the anti-codon, which is responsible for specific mRNA codon recognition, and the 3' end, to which the tRNAs corresponding amino acid is attached (by aminoacyl-tRNA synthetases). tRNAs cope with the degeneracy of the genetic code in two manners: having more than one tRNA (with a specific anti-codon) for a particular amino acid; and 'wobble' base-pairing, i.e. permitting non-standard base-pairing at the 3rd anti-codon position. The record is from RNAcentral. Lineage: Eukaryota; Metazoa; Arthropoda; Arachnida; Pseudoscorpiones; Chernetidae.
UCCAGGGUUGCCUAGUGGACAUGGCACCUGCCCGGUAAGCAGAAGGUUGUGGGUUCGAUUCCCGCCCCUGGAC